AGUCGAGCGGAACGAGUUAUCUGAACCUUCGGGGAACGAUAACGGCGUCGAGCGGCGGACGGGUGAGUAAUGCCUAGGAAAUUGCCCUGAUGUGGGGGAUAACCAUUGGAAACGAUGGCUAAUACCGCAUGAUGCCUACGGGCCAAAGAGGGGGACCUUCGGGCCUCUCGCGUCAGGAUAUGCCUAGGUGGGAUUAGCUAGUUGGUGAGGUAAGGGCUCACCAAGGCGACGAUCCCUAGCUGGUCUGAGAGGAUGAUCAGCCACACUGGAACUGAGACACGGUCCAGACUCCUACGGGAGGCAGCAGUGGGGAAUAUUGCACAAUGGGCGCAAGCCUGAUGCACCAUGCCGCGUGUGUGAAGAAGGCCUUCGGGUUGUAAAGCACUUUCAGUCGUGAGGAAGGUGGUGUAGUUAAUAGCUGCAUCAUUUGACGUUAGCGACAGAAGAAGCACCGGCUAACUCCGUGCCAGCAGCCGCGGUAAUACGGAGGGUGCGAGCGUUAAUCGGAAUUACUGGGCGUAAAGCGCAUGCAGGUGGUUUGUUA
Molecule: ribosomal RNA, 544 nt
Filed under: Vibrio alginolyticus
Lineage: Bacteria; Pseudomonadati; Pseudomonadota; Gammaproteobacteria; Vibrionales; Vibrionaceae
Description: bacterial SSU rRNA
Rfam family: Bacterial small subunit ribosomal RNA
Source: RNAcentral